This 301-nucleotide ribosomal RNA is filed under the name uncultured bacterium. RNAcentral describes it as "partial 16S ribosomal RNA". It matches the Rfam family "Bacterial small subunit ribosomal RNA", at positions 509 to 807 of the family's 1533-position model. The record is from RNAcentral.
CAGUCGCCGCGGUAAUACAGAGGAUGCAAGCGUUAUCCGGAAUGAUUGGGCGUAAAGCGUCUGUAGGUGGCUUUUCAAGUCCGCCGUCAAAUCCCCGGGCUCAACCCUGGACAGGCAGUGGAAACUACCAAGCUGGAGUACGGUAGGGGCAGAGGGAAUUUCCGGUGUAGCGGUGAAAUGCGUAGAUAUCGGAAGGAACACCUGUGGCGAAAGCGGCUCACUGGACCAUUUCUGACGCUGAUGCACGAAAGCUAGGGGAGCAAACAGGAUUAGAUACCCGCGUAGUCCCUGUCUCUUAUAC